GGGCUUACGGUGGAUACCUAGGCACCUAGAGACGAGGAAGGGCAUGGUAAGCAAUGAAAUGCUUCAGGGAGUUGAAAAUGAGCAUAGAUUCGGAGAUUAUCGAAUAGGUUAACCUUUGUAACUAUUGCUUAAUCCAUGGGUAGGCAAGAGACAACCUGGUGAAUUAAAACAUCUUAGUAGCCAGAGGAAUAGAAAGCAAAAAUUAUUCAUGUAGUAGCAACGAGCGAAAUGGGAGCAGCCUAAACCAUGAAAAUGAGGUUGUGGGAGAGCACAAUAUAAGCUUUGUGCUGCUAGGUGAAGCGGUUGAGUCCUGCACCCUAGAUGGUGAGAGUCUAGUAGCCAAAAGCAUCAUUGGGUUACGCUCUAACCCGAGUAGCAUGGGGCACAUGGAAUCCCAUGUGAAUCAACAAGGACCACCUUGCAAGGCUAAAUACUCCUGGGUGAUCGAUAGCGAAGUAGUACCAUGACGGAAAGGUGAAAAGAACCCCAAUUGGGGAGUGAAAUAGAACAUGAAACUGUAAGCUCCCAAGAAGUGGGAGGAAAAUGAUAUCUUUGACCGCAUGCCUAUUGAAUAAUGAGCCAACGACUUAUAGGAAGUGGCUUGGUUAAGGGAACCCACCGGAGCCGUAGCGAGAGAGAGUCUUCAUGGGGCAAUUGUCACUUCUUAUGAACCCGAACCUGGGUGAUCUAUCCAUGACCAAGAUGAAGAUUGGGUGAAACUAAGUGGAGGUCUGAACCGACUAAUGUUGAAAAAUAAGAGGAUGAGUCGUGGUUAGGGGUGAAAUGCCAUUCAAACCCAGAGGUAGUUGGUUCUCCCCGAAAUGCAUUGAGGCGCAACAAUUGACUGGACCAUCUAGGGGUAAAGCACUGUUUCAGUACGGGCCGCGAGAGCGAUACCAAAUCGAGGCAAACUCUGAAUACUAGAUUGCCCCAAUAAAAGGGAUAAAGGUCAGCUAGUGAGACGAUGGAGGAUAAGCUUCAUCGUCGAGAGGGAAACAACCCAGAUCAUCAACUAAUGCCCCUAAAUGAUCGCUCAGUGAUGAAGGAAGUACGAGUGCAAAGACAGCCAGGAGGUUUGCCUAGAAGUAGCAAACCUUGAAAGAGUGUGUAAUAGCUCACUGAUCGAGUGCUCUUGCGUCGAAGAUGAACGGGACUAAGCGAUUUGCCGAAGCUAUGGGAUUUAAAAAUGCAUUGGUAGGGGAGCAUUCUGCCUCAGAGGGAAGCACCGGCGUGAGUAGGUGUGGACAAAGCGGAAGCGAGAAUGUCGGCUUGAGUAACGCAAACAUUGGUGAGAAUCCAAUGCCCCAAAAACCUAAGGGUUCCUCCUCAAGGUUCGUCCACAGAGGGUGAGUCAAGGCCUAAUAUUAGGCCGAAAGGCAUAGUCGAUGGACAACAGGUUAAUAUUCCUGUACUACCCCUUGUUGGUCCUGAGGGAUGGAGGAGGCUAGGUUAGCCGAAAGAUGGUUAUCGAUUAAAGGAUGCAAGGUGACCCUCUAUACAUUGAUUCAAAGGUAAAAGAAGAAUCAAAUAUAGGUGUGUACAAGGUGAGGUUGGGGGUGGAUAUUCCUCAUCAUCUACUCUAGCGCACAAAAAUCCAAGAUGGCUUAUCCAAACAUUAUAGGAUGCAAAAAAUCAUGUAGGAGCACCCAUAUCAUCAAUGAGGGUGAGUAU
Non-coding RNA from Picea glauca (white spruce), 1671 nucleotides. Lineage: Eukaryota; Viridiplantae; Streptophyta; Pinopsida; Pinales; Pinaceae. The record is from Rfam.